RNAcentral lists this non-coding RNA (150 nucleotides) under Hominimerdicola alba. Its description in RNAcentral is "Ruminococcus albus FMN sequence". It matches the Rfam family "FMN riboswitch aptamer (RFN element)". Rfam says of the family: The RFN element is a highly conserved domain that is found frequently in the 5'-untranslated regions of prokaryotic mRNAs that encode for flavin mononucleotide (FMN) biosynthesis and transport proteins. This element is a metabolite-dependent riboswitch that directly binds FMN in the absence of proteins. The record is from RNAcentral. Lineage: Bacteria; Bacillati; Bacillota; Clostridia; Eubacteriales; Oscillospiraceae.
AAUUAGUUUCAGGGGUGGUGAAAGUCCACACCGGAGGUGAGCAGCAGUUUCUGUUAUGCUGUAAGUCCUCGAACGCCUCGCCAGUGUGCCCGGCGCCGAACGGGUGAGAAACCCGUACCGACGGUAUAGUCCGGAUGAAAGAAACGACAU